Molecule: ribosomal RNA, 403 nt
Filed under: uncultured bacterium
Lineage: Bacteria
Description: partial 16S ribosomal RNA
Rfam family: Bacterial small subunit ribosomal RNA
Source: RNAcentral
AUUGAACGCUGGCGGCAGGCCUAACACAUGCAAGUCGAGCGAGCGGCGGACGGGUGAGUAAUGUAUGGGGACUGCCCGAUAGAGGGGGGGAACAACUGGAAACGGUGGCUAAUACCGCAUACAGUCGUAUACCCCCUAUGGGAUUAGCUCGUGGGUAAGGUAAUGGCUUACCUAGGCGAAGAUCCCUAGCUGGUUUGAGAGGAGGAUCAGCCAGACUGGGACAUAGACACGGCCCAGACUCCUACGGAGGCAGCAGUGGGGAAUAUUGGACAAUGGGGGAAACCCUGAUGCAGCCAUCCCGCGUGUAUGAAGAAGGCCUUAGGGUUGUAAAGUACUUUCAGCCGGGAGGCGUUAUCUACAGAAUAAGCACCGGCUAACUCCGUGCCAGCAGCCGCGGUAAUUC